Molecule: long non-coding RNA, 767 nt
Organism: Conger conger (European conger)
Lineage: Eukaryota; Metazoa; Chordata; Actinopteri; Anguilliformes; Congridae
Exons: 3
Source: RefSeq, a predicted model, not a curated record
GUGGAGACGAAAGCCAGCACACCCUGCGGCUCUCCAGGACCAGGGUUGCCGACCCCUGGCCUUGGGGGACCCAUGAUUCUGUGAUUUUGCUGAUUUUGCUGGUUGGGAAUAAACUGGCACAUUUUGGGGAUAGGAGUUUCCCUCUGAAGCUGUGUGAUGACACCAUUAACACAUUAACACUCCUUAAGACUCCAGCGGAAUGUUGAAGGGCCAAUGGUUGUGUCCUGCACAACAUGGCCCUGAAACAUGGGGUUCCCAUAACCGAGGAACCCAGAGGCCUACAUGACCGAAUUCCCAUUCAACUGCCCAUCGAUCAGCCAAAUAUGGAGGCAACUCGUCUGCGUCAGCUCCUUAUCCACUGCCUCUAAAAGAAAUCUCCUCCACUGCCUUCUGAAUGGCCUCCUGCUUCUCCAAUACUGUGGUGGUGAGGACCCUGGGCAGCUGGGACCUUCCACUGACAGAGCCCUGGCAGUCUCGGCAGAGGCUGCUGAAGUGCCUUCUCCUAUGAAAAAAAUACAGUCAAUGGCGCAGAUGGAUGGAGGAGGAGCUGGAUGCAACCUGAUUGGGCUGCAGGUACCACCUCAUGCUACCAGUAGUGACAAGGACACUAGCAGAACACAAAAGUAGAGAAGAAUCAGUCAGGAAGGAUAAGGAGAGAGCAAUUGUCUGUGGCCAUUACCUUUUUUGCGGUUGUCUUGCUUUUGCAUCUCCAUUGCACCUGGACAGUUUGAUAUCCCCGAAGUUUAACUGACUUGGUGUUACACUGU